UCCCUAAACCGAUUGAUGAUAUAC
RNAcentral lists this non-coding RNA (24 nucleotides) under Arabidopsis thaliana (thale cress). Lineage: Eukaryota; Viridiplantae; Streptophyta; Magnoliopsida; Brassicales; Brassicaceae. The record is from RNAcentral.